Molecule: ribosomal RNA, 303 nt
Filed under: uncultured bacterium
Lineage: Bacteria
Description: partial 16S ribosomal RNA
Rfam family: Bacterial small subunit ribosomal RNA
Source: RNAcentral
AGCAGUCGCCGCGGGAAUACGUAGGUGGCGAGCGUUGUCCGGAAUUAUUGGGCGUAAAGGGAGCGCAGGCGGACAUAUAAGUCCAUCUUAAAAGUGCGGGGCUCAACCCCGUGAGGGGAUGGAAGCUGUAUGCCUUGAGUGCAGGAGAGGAAAGCGGAAUUCCCAGUGUAGCGGUGAAAUGCGUAGAUAUUGGGAGGAACACCAGUGGCGAAGGCGGCUUUCUGGACUGCAACUGACGCUGAGGCUCGAAAGCCAGGGGAGCGAACGGGAUUAGAUACCCCCGUAGUCCCUGUCUCUUAUACA